GGUCGUAACGUGCUACAUUUUCUCUGUUACAUUUACUUAUGUCAUUUUGGGGGAAAAAUUUACUUGUCUGAGUAGUUUCAAUAUAGAUACUUGAGUAUUUUCGAAACGGUACUUUUUCUUAGUUACAGCGAGCUACAUUCUAUCGGGCUACAUUCUAUUAUUAUUUCCGCGAGCUACUUGUUUUGGUUUGUUAGAGACUUCCGCCUUGGGUGCCGUCAUAUGAGUCUGUUUCUCCAAUCCAACGGAGCUACAAGUAAUGUGAGACUGUUAGUCAAAGUGACACAUUUCCUGGAAACUGGUAGAAACACAGAAAAAAAACGCCUCUGUACUCUCUGCCUGGCAGAAUUCUUGAUGCAUAUUGGGUGCCACUGGAAUGGGAAGGUGCACCUCAGGAAUUGUUUGGCAGAUACGGCCAUCAUGAUGCAGGACAAACCAAAGCAUGAGCUGUAACCAGAGAAACUACUGUGAUACCGCCAACAUGUGACAUCAUCUCAUCACGGCACAUUCAUACCACUUUUAAAAUGUGUGUCAGCGUCAUCUUACUCAUCCAUGACUGUGUGUUCGUGAAUGAGUAAUACCAAUGUAACUAUUGUGCAACAUGGCCAGCAUGCAAGUGAAUAAUAAGGGAAAGUGGUUGAUAUUUGCAAUUCAUUUUGUUAAUGUUAUGCUUAAAAAUUACAUUUCUCGGUUAACUUUAUUUUUCUCCUGAUUUAAAAAUAUCCUGGGUGUGUUUGAAUUUCCACAACUGACAGGCACUGUAACACUUUUAUAGCCCUUCACUAUUGACAGCCUCAAGUCUAAACACACAUUCUCAUGACUACUGACUCAGAAAUGAAACAUGCAGAAACA
Molecule: long non-coding RNA, 849 nt
Organism: Phycodurus eques (leafy seadragon)
Lineage: Eukaryota; Metazoa; Chordata; Actinopteri; Syngnathiformes; Syngnathidae
Exons: 3
Source: RefSeq, a predicted model, not a curated record